UUUCCUCGAUCUAGCUUCGUAUUUGAAUCUUCCGGAUCUAAAUAAAUAAAUUUAGUUAUCAAUUUAAUACAUUUCAUGUUCAUAUGCAACAUUCUUUAUAAUUCAACUAUUAUUUAUAGUUCAUUCAAAGCUGUCUACUUGAGUCAUAGUCACUAAAUUAUUUAUAACUUGAGUUAUAGAACUCCAAAUUAAGAUCCGUUAAUUUUCCAUAAAACUAGACUCAUAUAUACUUUUACCAUAAAAUUUUCAGAAUUUUUGGUUUAUCCAAUAAGUACAUUUUAUUCUUUAAAGUCACCCCUGUUCUGCUGUCGACAGUUCUGACCCUUCUUCACUAAAAAUUAAUUAUCUCUUCAUACAGAAUUCAAAUAAUGUUCUCGUUUGUUUUUCUUAAAAAUAGACUCAUUAAGGAUUCUAGACAUAUAAAUUUAAGCCCAUAAAUUUUUUUAUUCAAUUUUUUAUGAUUUUUCAAAGUCAUAACAGGGGAACCCAAAUUCAUUCUGACCUUGUCUCACAAAAUUCAUUAUAUCUCAAAAUUUACAAAUCCAUUGCUUACACUAUUUCUUCUAUGAGAAACUAAACUCAAUAAGCUUUAAUUCCAUAUUUUUUUAAUCUUCUAAUUAGAUUUCUACAAUUUAUGGUGAUUUUUCAAAUUUAGUCUACUGCUGCUGUCCAAACUAUUUUUGUGCAAGCUGUUUAUUACCAUUUUUCCCCUAAGUUUUUAAUAAAUGAUAAUUUCGUCCCUUCUCAAUUAGCCUCUCAAUUGAGCUGAUUUUUCUCAAUUAACAUUUUAUUCUAUCACCUUAAACUAGUUUACAACCUUUAGGAAUCAGAAUUUCAGCAAUAGACUUUAAUUCCAAGCAUUUUCACAAUUAGAUCCUAAAAAUCAAUUUCUAUUGAAAUUACCUAAUAAAAUCAUCUCAUAAACAAAUUAAAGCUUUAAUUUAAUUCUAUUUCAUCAUAAAAUUACAGCACUAAACCAUGGUGACUUUCAAUUUCAUCCAUGAAAUCAAAAACUAAUGAAUUUAAUAGUAGGACUUAGUUGUAAAAGUCUUAGAAACACAAAAAUUACAAGAAAAAGGCAAGGAUUAACUCACUUGGUGCAAAAAUUAUGAAAUAUCAGCAUAUAGAACCCUCUUAUGGCGUUUUUAGCUGCUGAAAUUGAAGAGAAAUCUAAAUAUUUCCUAUUUAGUCCUAGCUUUAUUUAGUUAAUUUUGCAAUAUUCUAAUUUUACCCUUAAUUUAUCAAUUUUUCUGCUGAUUUCAUACCCUUACCGUCCAGCCCAAAUAACUUUUGGGUCUAAUUGCCUUUUAAAUCCUUUCUCAUUAGACUAUUAAGCUAUUUAAUCACUCUAACAACUUUUACACCUAUUACAAUUUAGUCUUUUUCAUUUAAUUGACUACCCAAACAUUAAAAUUUCCUAACGAAAUUUUAAUACCACAUUAAUAACAUUUCAUAAAUAUUUAUAAAAUUAUUUUUGACUCAGUUUUACGAGAUAGAGGUCUCGAUACCUUGUUUUUACCCAAUUUCUUCAAUAAUUUCUUUUUCUAUCUAAUCACUAAAUUGGUAAAAUUUUUCUAUUAAUAUUUUUAUACGAUUUUCCUAUCAUAUCAAUUUUCAAGCAAAAAUAUUGAAAUAAAUUUCUCUGUAAAUCGAAUUUGGGGUUACGAAACUACUGUUCUGAUAAUUUUAAAUUUAGGCCAUUACAACACAGCCGACCACACGCUCGUGUGCCAGCUCGUGUGCCACACACGACCAGUAAACACGCCCGUGUGUCUAGGCCGUGUCAAAAUUAAAGGGUAUACUGACUUUAAUUCGUAGGGUAUCCCAGGGGACACACGGCCGUGUAACAUGACCGUGUGUCGCACACAGCUGAGACACACGCCCGUGUAGACAAAAAUUGGCCAUUUGAAUAACCAAUUUGCCACCCUAAUUUGGGUCAACCUACAAGCACCAAACCAAGCAUAUACCAAACCAUACAUAAUUCAUGCUAUAACAUUACCAAUCAUUUCAAAUCUCAAUUCAUCAAUCAAUUCAUACCAAAACUUAAACUAAAAUCACACCUAAACAUAUGAUCAAUACAUCAUUCAAUCAAAUGCUCAAAACUUACCAAAACUUCUCAACAUUGACCAUUUCUUUUGGCCAACCAAAACAUACCACAUUUGUAUCGCAUAUCAUAUACCAUUAUCAAACUAUAAGUUCAAACACAAACUAGCUGUACAGGCCCAAAUCUGCCCGGGCCCGUAUGAAAACAAAAACAGAAAAUCAAAACCAAAAUAAUAAAUAAACAAAAAAUCCAAAUAGUAACAGUCCAUUAAAUGUCCAAUUACAUAACAAAACCCAAAACCAUGAUGGCCCAAUAGGCCCAAUGCCUAAACCAAAUCUUAGCCAAGGCUAACCUUAGCCUAAAAACCAAAAACCAAGGCAGAAACCCUAGCCUUUGCUUAGCGCCGCAGCCUCCAGGCGCCGUACGACCACCAGCAGCCUCCGUACGCCCCACGUCGAGUGCCACAUACCCCCACAGCUGGCCCUGUACCUCCGCACCUGCAAACAAAUAAGAGAACGACAGCAGCAAAUACGAAAAGAAAAGAAAAUUGUAUUUUUAUUUUUAUUUUUUCUGGGUUUCAGCUAUAAAGCCAGAGGCAAGGUAUUGAUCUUUUUUUUACGCACAUUGAAAUACAGAUACGAAGCAAAAAAACUAGAAAUUAUUAAGAGGUGAUUUCGAAUGCCUUAUGUUCUUUGUUUUUCUUUUCUGAAAUUGGUUUCAUCUUCAAAUCUUGCCUUUCUUUUUCUUUUUGCAAAAAAGGAGAUAAAAGCGAAACUCGCCUUCGUGUACGAGCCAUUGAAGCCCAUCUCCUUCAUCAGCAUCGAAGUUUGAGAGAUGAUUUCGAGGCUGAAAUCGACGAACUUUAACACUAGAGUCUAAAUGAGAGAGUAAGGGGCAUCACCGAAGGUCAUCGUUCAUCGUCGUAGUGAUGAAAUGGUGGCUAAACGGCGCAGAACCUUUAGGGUUCCCCUUUCCCCAUUAAUUCGACCGAAAUAACUAGGUUUUUCAGAGGCUUUGUCCUCUUUUAAUUGGUGACGCGAAACGGUGCCGUUUAAGGCAUGAUUUGUAGCCUUAAAACGACACCGUUUAAAGAGCCCCGACCUGAUCCGUUCCCGAGUACCCUCAGAACCCGCGUGUUUUUGCGGUGAAGGGUUAUUUUCAAGAUUGGUCCUUCCCUUCCGCAUUGGCAUUCAAUUAGGCUUUAUUUGUAUUUUUUUGUUUUUUUAAUUGAUCUCUGUAAUUUGCGCACAAAUGCAAUUUGAUCCACGCCUCAACACUGUGUUUUGGGGUCUGGAUUAUUUCCAAAUUUGGUCCCUGUGCAUUCGCACAUGUUGCACGCUGGUCCCUUUUUAUUUUAAUAGUUCAUUUCAUUUAUAAUUGGUCCCUUCCAUUUUUAUUCUAUUUUAAUUGAGUUUCCUUUUUAUUUAUUUUAUGGUUCAUUAUUAUUUUUUAAGAUACAUUCAACAUUUUUUAAUCCUUG
This 3524-nucleotide long non-coding RNA is filed under the name Gossypium barbadense (sea-island cotton). RNAcentral's name for it is "long non-coding RNA (GBAR_LNC005912)". The record is from RNAcentral. Lineage: Eukaryota; Viridiplantae; Streptophyta; Magnoliopsida; Malvales; Malvaceae.